AAAGUGCGAAAACUAGUGUGAAUUGCAUUUUUUGUGAAUCAUCGAGUCUUUGAACGCAACCUGCGCUCCGGGCCUAGGCCCCGAGCAUGCCUGUUUGAGCAUUGAUACUCCAUGCACCCUGUGCGAAUGUGAGGCUUGCAUGCCGCAACGCUUGAGCCUCAAACUGCGGCGGCCCCGCGGAUGCGAUGAAUCUUCCUCGGCGGGGCACAUCCAUUCACUCUCAAAUCAGGUAGGACCACCCGCUGAACUUAA
Molecule: unclassified non-coding RNA, 252 nt
Filed under: uncultured fungus
Lineage: Eukaryota; Fungi
Description: sequence contains ITS1
Rfam family: 5.8S ribosomal RNA (bases 1-104)
Source: RNAcentral